UCUUGGCGCCAAUGGGGGGAAAGCCUGACGCCAGCAACGCCGCGUGGGGGGACGAAGNCCUUCGGGUUGUAAACCCCUUUCAAGCCAGGGACGNAACAUGACGGUACCUGCAGAAGGAAGCCCCGGGCCAACUAACGUGCCAGCAGCCGCGGUAAUACGUAGGGGGGCGAGNCGUUGUCCGGAUUUAUUGGGCGUAAAGAGCUCGUAGNCGGUUUGGGCAAGUCGGGGUGUGANAACUCCGGGCUCAACUCGGAGACGCCACUCGAUACUGCCAUGACUCGAGUCCGGUAGGGGAGUGCGAAAUUCCUGGUGUAGCGGUGAAAUGCGCAGAUAUCAGGAGGAACACCGGUGGCGAAGGCGGCACUCUGGGCCGGAACUGACGCUGAGGAGCGAAAGCGUGGGGAGGCGAACAGGAUUAGAUACCCUGGUAGUCCACGCCGUAAACGUUGGGCACUAGGUGUGGGGCUCGAUCGACGGGCUCCGUGCCGUAGCUAACGCAU
RNAcentral lists this ribosomal RNA (500 nucleotides) under uncultured bacterium. RNAcentral's name for it is "bacterial SSU rRNA". It matches the Rfam family "Bacterial small subunit ribosomal RNA", at positions 359 to 860 of the family's 1533-position model. The record is from RNAcentral.